This 1816-nucleotide unclassified non-coding RNA is filed under the name Leishmania donovani. Its description in RNAcentral is "gene:unknown". Lineage: Eukaryota; Euglenozoa; Kinetoplastea; Trypanosomatida; Trypanosomatidae. The record is from RNAcentral.
CGGCACGCUAUUCAACCAAGAACGGCUCGAAUACACACGGGCCUACACGCGCGCACAGAGAGGCGUUUGUGGUGCCUUCACAGCGCCCCUCUCACGUGCGGCUGCAUCUUUUCUUUGGCCGCUGUGCGCCCACGACAGAGACGCGCGCGCUCACAGACGGGGAGGCCGCUCGAAGGUCGCCGGCGGAGGGGGCGCACAAACAAAAGCGUAGCACCGCCCAGCCGGCCAGCAGACCUCGGAGAGGCGACGGGGAAGAGGGAAGUAAGCCGGAGCCACCGCAGCAGCGCCUGACUGCUGAUUCGACGCCUGUGCACACCUUUGGUUGUUUCGCUCUCGUCUACUCUCACACGUGCUCUUCGCGGAGUUGUUGGGCCUGUGCAAGCGUCACUCACAGCUCAGCCUCCUCCCUAUCCGUGUCCCGUCCACCCCCUACAGGGUGUGCGCCGUUCAUGCGGAGUGCAUGGCGACGAAGAGGGAGCGAAGUCGGCGGCAAAAGCGCCAGCGAGCAACGCCAGUCGGACAUGCUCAUUUACGGUUUGCCCCUCACUGCCUCCGUGGAGUGAUCCUCUUUUCUCGUCGUGGCACGCGCGCAUACCCUGCCGCUGCUGCUUCCUCGCCACGCAAACGCGUACAGACACGCACGCGCAGUUGAGGAUAUACAUGCACGGCUGCGGUCACGUGGGGUUUCUGUGUUUCCUUGUCCGCGUGCCCGUUCGACUACGAGGAAGCCGGCAGAUCUGCGCGCAGACGCAACCACAGCUCACCCACCUCUGCUGCACCACCGCUAAAUCCUCGUUGUCUCGGACGAACCGUCCUGCCGCCGAACCCGGGCCACGCGUCUGGCGGGCUCUUCUCGCGCUUCGUCGGCCCUGACUUCUGGUUUAGUGCGAAGUCAAAGGACCAGCGGCUCUCCUCGCUUCCUGUGUGGAAAGGAGUUUAGGCUGCCCUAGAGGUAUAUCAGAGGUGGUGCCGCGGAGUAGCAGCGGUGCCGCUCUUUUUUUUUUUGAUAAUGCUCUCAUUCUGUCGUCUUGGCUUGCUGCUGUCGCUUCGCAUGGCCUCCCACCCUCUUCUCCCUCUCAAAGGAACGCAUGCGGGCAUGGGAGCGCAGGGAACUGCUUGCGUGAGCGUAGGUCUGUGUGUGUGCCCCCGAUGGACGGUUGCACGCUCCUCGACAUGCCCCCCCUCUUUGCAGCUCCGCCCUCCUGUGCCCUCCGCUGCUGCCUUUGGUGACGAGGGUAGAGGUGAUUCGCAGGGCAGGGCAUUUUCGUUUGUAACGUGCGCCAGUGCGGGGGGAGGGCGAGUAGCCCACGAAUGAUGACCGCAAGAGAAGUGAAGCCCACGCAUCGAAGUGUCAGGCGAGAAAGACGGUUGUGAAGGCGGUGUGGAGGACGGCGGUGCUCUUCGCAUCUGCAUCGGGGGCGGCGUGUGCGACGAGGAAAACGAUACCUUCACCCACUCCAUCCUCCAAAGGGACUGUCUCUCCGCCCAUGAGCGCAGGAAACAGAAAAGACGCGCCACUGUCUCUCCCGCGCACGCUUAUUUUGCUACCGCCUCGUCCCUCCUCCCCGCGGUCAUUUCGCCUCUCCGCCGCAUCCCAUGCCACGCGCUUUCACUUUUGCGCUCGCGGUGACCCUCGGCUCAGCACUCGACCUCGAUCAGCCGGGAUGCCCGACCCACCCUCUAUGCGUGAGAGAGCGCUCCUGCCUUGCCCGGUGCGCUGUCGCUUCACCUCAUUUGGCCCUCGCGCAAGACCUCCGCACAGCCUCCCCUGCCUCCGUCGCGAUACACAAGCAGACAUAUACACCUCUUCAGCCAC